AACGUAGGGGGCAAGCGUUGUCCGGAAUUAUUGGGCGUAAAGGGCGUGUAGGCGGAGGUGCAAGUCAGGUGUGAAAACCGAAGGCUCAACCUUAGGAUUGCACCUGAAACUGUGUCUCUUGAGGGUAGGAGAGGAAAGUGGAAUUCCCGGUGUAGCGGUGAUAUGCGUAGAUAUCGGGAGGAACACCAGUGGCGAAGGCGGCUUUCUGGCCUAUCCCUGACGCUGAGGCGCGAAAGCGUGGGUAGCAAACAGGAUUAGAUACC
Molecule: ribosomal RNA, 263 nt
Filed under: uncultured bacterium
Lineage: Bacteria
Description: partial 16S ribosomal RNA
Rfam family: Bacterial small subunit ribosomal RNA
Source: RNAcentral